AUGAACGCUGGCGGCGUGCCUAAUACAUGCAAGUCGAGCGAACAGACGAGGAGCUUGCUCCUCUGACGUUAGCGGCGGACGGGUGAGUAACACGUGGAUAACCUACCUAUAAGACUGGGAUAACUUCGGGAAACCGGAGCUAAUACCGGAUAAUAUAUUGAACCGCAUGGUUCAAUAGUGAAAGACGGUUUUGCUGUCACUUAUAGAUGGAUCCGCGCCGCAUUAGCUAGUUGGUAAGGUAACGGCUUACCAAGGCAACGAUGCGUAGCCGACCUGAGAGGGUGAUCGGCUACACUGGAACUGAGACACGGUCCAGACUCCUACGGGAGGCAGCAGUAGGGAAUCUUCCGCAAAGGGCGAAAGCCUGACGGAGCAACGCCGCGUGAGUGAUGAAGGUCUUCGGAUCGUAAAACUCUGUUAUUAGGGAAGAACAAAUGUGUAAGUAACUAUGCACGUCUUGACGGUACCUAAUCAGAAAGCCACGGCUAACUACGUG
This 496-nucleotide ribosomal RNA is filed under the name uncultured bacterium. RNAcentral's name for it is "partial 16S ribosomal RNA". It matches the Rfam family "Bacterial small subunit ribosomal RNA", at positions 29 to 507 of the family's 1533-position model. The record is from RNAcentral.